Molecule: ribosomal RNA, 754 nt
Filed under: Golovinomyces salviae
Lineage: Eukaryota; Fungi; Ascomycota; Leotiomycetes; Helotiales; Erysiphaceae
Description: eukaryotic LSU rRNA
Rfam family: Eukaryotic large subunit ribosomal RNA
Source: RNAcentral
UUGACCUCGAAUCAGGUAGGGAUACCCGCUGAACUUAAGCAUAUCAAUAAGCGGAGGAAAAGAAACCAACCGGGAUUACCUCAGUAACGGCGAGUGAAGCGGUAACAGCUCAAAUUUGAAAUCUGGCUCCUGCGGAGUCCGAGUUGUAAUUUGUAGAAGAUGCUUUGGGAGGUAGGACCGGCCUAAGUUCCUUGGAACAGGACAUCAGAGAGGGUGAGAAUCCCGUAUGCGGCCGCGGCCUAUGCCCGUGUAAAGCUCUUUCGACGAGUCGAGUUGUUUGGGAAUGCAGCUCAAAAUGGGUGGUAAAUUUCAUCUAAAGCUAAAUAUUGGCCAGAGACCGAUAGCGCACAAGUAGAGUGAUCGAAAGAUGAAAAGCACUUUGGAAAGAGAGUUAAACAGUACGUGAAAUUGUUGAAAGGGAAGCGCUUGCACCCAGACUUGGGCGUCGUCGAUCAUCCGAGGUUCUCCUCGGUGCACUCGGCGAUGCACAGGCCAGCAUCGGUUUGGGUGGUUGGAGAAAGGCUCUAGGAACGUAGCUCUCUUCGGGGAGUGUUAUAGCCUAGGGCGUAAUGCAGCCCAUCCGGACCGAGGACCGCGCCUUUGGGCUAGGAUGCUGGCGUAAUGGUUGCAAGCGACCCGUCUUGAAACACGGACCAAGGAGUCUAACAUCUAUGCGAGUGUUUGGGCGUUAAACCCAUACGCGGAAUGAAAGUGAACGUAGGUGAGAACCCGUUAGGGUGCAUCAUCGACCGAU